GUCGUGAACCUGGCAUACAAUGUAGAUUUCUGUGUGGUACUAUCUACAGCUACAUUGUCUGCUGGGUUUCAGGCCAGCAGAAUAAUUCUGCUC
MicroRNA precursor from Danio rerio (zebrafish), 93 nucleotides. Ensembl annotates it as microRNA 221. Its record names the gene dre-mir-221. The record is from Ensembl. NCBI's taxonomy places the organism in Eukaryota, Metazoa, Chordata, Actinopteri, Cypriniformes, Danionidae.